AGCCGGCCCCGUACGGCUGCAAGGGAGGCUCCUGUGGACAGGCCAGGCAGGUGGGCCUCAGGAGGUACCUCCAGGCGGCCAGUGGGCCUGAGGCCCCAGCAAGGGCCAGGGUCCAUCUCCAGUCCCAGGACACAGCAGCGGCCACCAUGGCCACGCCUGGGCUCCAGCAGCAUCAGCAGCCCCCAGGACCGGGGAGGCACAGGUGGCCCCCACCACCAGGAGGAGCAGCUCCCGCCCCUGUCCAGGGGAUGACGGAUUCUCCUCCGCCAGCCGUAGGGUGUGUGCCCUCCAGCCUCACGGGGACCCUGUCUCCGAGUCGUUCGUGCAGCGUGUGUACCAGCCCUUCCUCACCACCUGCGACGGGCACCGGGCCUGCAGCACCUACCGAACCAUCUAUAGGACCGCCUACCGCCGCAGCCCUGGGCUGGCCCCUGCCAGGCCUCGCUACGCAUGCUG
Molecule: small RNA, 456 nt
Filed under: Pongo abelii (Sumatran orangutan)
Lineage: Eukaryota; Metazoa; Chordata; Mammalia; Primates; Hominidae
Description: processed transcript
Source: RNAcentral